Molecule: ribosomal RNA, 253 nt
Filed under: uncultured bacterium
Lineage: Bacteria
Description: partial 16S ribosomal RNA
Rfam family: Bacterial small subunit ribosomal RNA
Source: RNAcentral
UACGUAGGGGGCAAGCGUUGUCCGGAAUUAUUGGGCGUAAAGGGUGCGUAGGCGGCGAGGCAAGUCGGAUGUGAAAUCCCGGGGCUCAACCCUGGAACUGCAUUCGAUACUGCCUUGCUAGAGUACUGGAGAGGAGACUGGAAUUUACGGUGUAGCAGUGAAAUGCGUAGAUAUCGUAAGGAAGACCAGUGGCGAAGGCGAGUCUCUGGACAGUUGCUGACGCUGAGGCACGAAGGCCAGGGGAGCAAACGGG